This 119-nucleotide ribosomal RNA is filed under the name Salmo salar (Atlantic salmon). Lineage: Eukaryota; Metazoa; Chordata; Actinopteri; Salmoniformes; Salmonidae. The record is from RNAcentral.
GCUUAUGGCCAUACCAGCCUGGGUACGCCCGAUCUCGUCUGAUCUCGGAAGCUAAGCAGGGUCGGGCCUGGUUAGUACUUGAAUGGGAGACCGCCUGGGAAUACCAGGUGCUGUAAGCA